RNAcentral lists this ribosomal RNA (506 nucleotides) under uncultured Glomeromycotina. RNAcentral describes it as "partial small subunit ribosomal RNA". It matches the Rfam family "Eukaryotic small subunit ribosomal RNA", at positions 591 to 1092 of the family's 1831-position model. The record is from RNAcentral. Lineage: Eukaryota; Fungi; Glomeromycota.
CUAAUAGCGUAUAUUAAAGUUGUUGCGGUUAAAAAGCUCGUAGUUGAAUUUUGGAAUUGAUGCAUCGGUCGUGCCUUAAGGGGCAUGAACUGGUGUAGCCAAUUUCUCAUCUUCUGGUGAUUUGUGAUGUUCUUAAUUGGGUGUCUCAAUGAACUGGAAUUUUUUACUUUGAAAAAAUUAGAGUGUUUAAAGCAGGCAGUGAUUUGCUUGAAUACAUUAGCAUGGAAUAAUGAAAUAGGACAGUGGUUCUGUUUUGUUGGUUUCUAGGAUCACGUAAUGAUUAAUAGGGACAGUUGGGGGCAUUAGUAUUCAAUUGUCAGAGGUGAAAUUCUUGGAUUUAUUGAAGACUAACUAUUGCGAAAGCAUUUGCCAAGGAUGUUUUCAUUAAUCAAGAACGAAAGUUAGGGGAUCAAAGAUGAUUAAGUAUGUCGUAGUCCUAACCAUAAACUAUGCCGACUAGGAAUCAGACGAUGUUAAUUUUUUAAUGACUCGUUUGGUACCUUACG